UAGCAUAUCAAUAAGCGGAGGAAAAGAAACCAACAGGGAUUGCCCCAGUAACGGCGAGUGAAGCGGCAACAGCUCAAAUUUGAAAUCUGGCGCUUUAGGUGCCCGAGUUGUAAUUUGUAGAGGGAGUCUCGGGUUGAGAGUUGGUCCAAGUUCCUUGGAACAGGAUACCGAAGAGGGUGAGAGUCCCGUCUCCGGCCGACGUCAACGCCCGUGUGAGACCCCUUCGACGAGUCGAGUUGUUUGGGAAUGCAGCUCUAAAUGGGUGGUAAAUUCCAUCUAAAGCUAAAUACUGGCCAGAGACCGAUAGCGAACAAGUAGAGUGAUCGAAAGAUGAAAAGCACUUUGAAAAGAGAGUCAAACAGUACGUGAAAUUGUUGAAAGGGAAGCGUAUACGGCCAGACUUGGUCGCGAGGGUUCAGCCCGUCUUCUGGCGGGUGUACUCCCUCGCGGACAGGCCAGCAUCGGUUUCCGGGGUUGGAUAAAGGCGCUGGGAAUGUGGCUCCCCUCGGGGAGUGUUAUAGCCCGGCGUGCAAUGCGACCACUGGGGACCGAGGACCGCGCUUCGGCAAGGAUGCUGGCGUAAUGGCCUUAUACGGCCCGUCUUGAAACACGGACCAAGGAGUCUAACAUCUAUGCGAGUGUUUGGGUGUCAAGCCCGGGCGCGUAAUGAAAGUGAACGGAGGUGGGAGCUUCGGCGCACCAUCGACCGAUCCUGAUGUUUUCGGAAGGAUUUGAGUAAGAGCAUAGCUGUUGGGACCCGAAAGAUGGUGAACUAUGCGUGAAUAGGGUGAAGCCAGAGGAAACUCUGGUGGAGGCUCGCAGCGGUUCUGACGUGCAAAUCGAUCGUCAAAUUUGCGUAUAGGGGCGAAAGACUAAUCGAUACCAUCUAGUAGCUGGUUCCUGCCGAAGUUCCCCUCAG
Molecule: ribosomal RNA, 919 nt
Filed under: Melnikomyces longisporus
Lineage: Eukaryota; Fungi; Ascomycota; Dothideomycetes; Venturiales; Sympoventuriaceae
Description: partial large subunit ribosomal RNA
Rfam family: Eukaryotic large subunit ribosomal RNA
Source: RNAcentral